UCAGCGCAACGCACACCUUCGCCGGGUGUUUGCGAAUGCAGCGUCAAUGCGCGCAGAGGGCGUUGUGUGGCCUCUGGAAUGUUCUCCGUUAACACACGCACACACACACACACACACACUGCGCUUUACUGGGAAGAAAGUAGCCCACUUACAUUCAUCAUCUUCUGUGGUGAAGCAGCCGAGGGUUAACUUAAAGAAGAAUACAAAAUGGUUUGAGUGGCUCACAAAAAUACGUCAACUCUCUCGCAGCCGCUUCGUUAGCUACGAGCAGAGAGAGCGCGUCAUGGCUGCAGCGUUAACUCUGAGGAGUCUUCGGAGUCUGGAUCAUGCUAUUUCUGGGGGGCGCGGCUUCCUGUUGACGGGCGCCGUCACGGAACUCAAGCGAAGCGGCGGGCUCCUCUUGAGGCCUGGGGUCGGGACUCCGUGGGGAGGUCUCCCGUACAGACGCGUCAGGUAAGACUCGUCGUCCACCG
Molecule: long non-coding RNA, 473 nt
Organism: Phyllopteryx taeniolatus (common seadragon)
Lineage: Eukaryota; Metazoa; Chordata; Actinopteri; Syngnathiformes; Syngnathidae
Exons: 3
Source: RefSeq, a predicted model, not a curated record